This 379-nucleotide ribosomal RNA is filed under the name uncultured microorganism. Its description in RNAcentral is "bacterial SSU rRNA". It matches the Rfam family "Bacterial small subunit ribosomal RNA", at positions 9 to 383 of the family's 1533-position model. The record is from RNAcentral.
GAGUUUGAUCCUGGCUCAGAUUGAACGCUGGCGGCAUGCCUAACACAUGCAAGUCGAACGGCAGCACUGGGAGCUUGCUCCCUGGUGGCGAGUGGCGGACGGGUGAGUAACGCGUAGGAAUCUGCCUCAUAGCGGGGGACAACUCGGGGAAACUCGAGCUAAUACCGCAUACUACUCGAGAGAGGAAAGCAGGGGACCUUCGGGGCCUUGCACUAUGAGAUGAGCCUGCGUUGGAUUAGCUAGUUGGUAGGGUAAAGGCCUACCAAGGCGACGAUCCAUAACUGGUUUGAGAGGAUGACCAGUCACACUGGGACUGAGACACGGCCCAGACUCCUACGGGAGGCCAGCAGUGGGGAAUAUUGGACAAUGGGGGAAACCC